This 258-nucleotide long non-coding RNA is filed under the name Elaeis guineensis (African oil palm). RNAcentral describes it as "long non-coding RNA (EGUI_LNC026970)". Lineage: Eukaryota; Viridiplantae; Streptophyta; Magnoliopsida; Arecales; Arecaceae. The record is from RNAcentral.
CCCUAUCAAAAAUCAUCCAAAUUAAACAAAUCCAUCAUCACCUAACAACAAUUCGCCUUCUUAUCAAUACGCCCUAAUCCUUUUAUCUCAAAUUAACGGAGAAAUCCCUUUCUCCACAUUAGAAGGACCAAUUGUAAACCAUAAUUUCUACUCUACAGUCAACCCAAGCAAUGCAUUAAAGAAAUCAGAUUUCGAAACAACAAAUCCAGCUGGUAUUGCCAACAAGUUUCAAUUUUUUCAAGGGAAUAAGACAAUUUC